GCUGGCGGCACGCCUAACACAUGCAAGUCGAACGAAGUAGCAAUACUUAGUGGCAGACGGGUGAGUAACAUGUAGGUAUCUACCCUAUGGCCUGGAAUAACACGAGGAAACUUGUGCUAAUACUGGAUAAGUCUUUACGGAGAAAGCUUUAUGCACCAUUGGAUGAGCCUGCACUUGAUUAGUUUGUUGGUAGGGUAAUGGCCUACCAAGACUUUGAUCAAUAGCUGAUUUGAGAGGAUGAUCAGCCACAUUGGGACUGAGACACGGCCCAAACUCCUACGGGAGGCAGCAGUGGGGAAUCUUGCACAAUGGAGGAAACUCUGAUGCAGCGAUGCCGCGUGAGUGAAGAAGGCCCUUGGGUUGUAAAGCUCUUUCGUCGGGGAAGAAAAUGACUGUACCCGAAUAAGAAGGUCCGGCUAACUUCGUGCCAGCAGCCGCGGUAAUACGAAGGGACCUAGCGUAGUUCGGAAUUACUGGGCUUAAAGAGUUCGUAGGUUGUUGAAAUAGUUGGUGGUGAAAUCCCAGAGCUUAACUCUGGAACUGCCAUCAAAACUUUUUAGCUAGAGUAUGAUAGAGGAAAGCAGAAUUUCUAGUGUAGAGGUGAAAUUCGUAGAUAUUAGAAAGAAUACCAAUUGCGAAGGCAGCUUUCUGGAUCAUUACUGACGCUGAGGAACGAAAGCAUGGGUAGCGAAGAGGAUUAGAUACCCUCGUAGUCCAUGCCGUAAACGAUGUGUGUUAGACGUUGGAGAUUUAUCUUCAG
RNAcentral lists this ribosomal RNA (760 nucleotides) under uncultured Pelagibacteraceae bacterium. RNAcentral's name for it is "bacterial SSU rRNA". It matches the Rfam family "Bacterial small subunit ribosomal RNA", at positions 35 to 843 of the family's 1533-position model. The record is from RNAcentral. Lineage: Bacteria; Pseudomonadati; Pseudomonadota; Alphaproteobacteria; Candidatus Pelagibacterales; Candidatus Pelagibacteraceae.